CCACAUGUGAGAUUAAUAUUGUAUACGUUUCUCUUCCUGGAAUGUUCCGUGUGGUGACUGAUAAAACCGUCUUUGCUACUCCAGAAGCCCAAAUGGGUUUCCAUCCUGAUGCAGGGGCCUCCUACUAUCUCUCCCGUCUACCUGGUUAUUUACGGGAAUACUUGGCUCUAACAGGGGAAAAACUUAAUGGAGCGGAAAUGAUCGCCUGUGGCC
Molecule: non-coding RNA, 213 nt
Organism: Camellia sinensis
Lineage: Eukaryota; Viridiplantae; Streptophyta; Magnoliopsida; Ericales; Theaceae
Source: RefSeq, a predicted model, not a curated record